AACGAACGCUGGCGGCGUGGAUAAGACAUGCAAGUUGAACGCUAAUUUCGGUGUAGCAAUACAUCGGAGUUGGAGUAGCGCAAGGGUGCGUAACACGUGGGUAAUUUGCCGUGAAGUUGGGGAUAACUCGCUGAAAGGCGAGCUAAUACCGAAUGUGAAGUUUGGGUGGCAUCACCUGACCUUUAAAGCUGGGGAUCGUAAGACCUGGCGCUUUAUGAUAAGCCCGCGGCCAUCAGCUAGUUGGUGAGGUAACGGCUCACCAAGGCUAAGACGGGUAGCUGGUCUGAGAGGACGACCAGCCACACUGGAACUGAGACACUGCCCAGACUCCUACGGGGGGCUGCAGUGACGAAUCUUCCGCAAUGCACGAAAGUGUGACGGAGCGACGCCGCGU
Molecule: ribosomal RNA, 394 nt
Filed under: uncultured bacterium
Lineage: Bacteria
Description: bacterial SSU rRNA
Rfam family: Bacterial small subunit ribosomal RNA
Source: RNAcentral